This 362-nucleotide long non-coding RNA is filed under the name Homo sapiens (human). Its description in RNAcentral is "non-protein coding lnc-TRPA1-2:1". The record is from RNAcentral. Lineage: Eukaryota; Metazoa; Chordata; Mammalia; Primates; Hominidae.
AGUGACAGCCAUUGACUAAUAUCCUACUUCCAGGACAUGGCCAUUCGUGGUCUCGGGAAGACCGGACUCUGACACCAAAGAAGUUUCCGCAGCCAACAGACUAUGUGGAACCACCGCUUAAAUCGGACUGGAACUCACUUGAUGGGAUUAUUCGUUAAAUGCGAGUGUUUGGGGGCCACGGAGAGAAGGGAGAGCUCGUGAGAUGGGAAGAAGUUUCCGCUGGAUUCUCCUUGACCCUUCCCCUUUCCCUGGAACUGUGAUCGUGACAGGUGGCGGGUGUGGCUGUCACUGCACAGCGCCCACGGCUACAGCUGCGCCGGAUCUGGGCGACCACGUUUUGCCUCUCCAAAAAGAGCUUCCUU